This is a long non-coding RNA of Salvia miltiorrhiza (redroot sage), 951 nucleotides long. RefSeq lists it as uncharacterized. The record is from RefSeq and is a predicted model, not a curated record. NCBI's taxonomy places the organism in Eukaryota, Viridiplantae, Streptophyta, Magnoliopsida, Lamiales, Lamiaceae. The transcript has 2 exons.
UUCGCAUCUUUGUUUUGAAUCUUUUGAUAAGUUCUUAGAUUGUUGUUUGUUCUAUAUCUUGAUACUAUUCACUUAUAAUCUUCGCUUCAUGGAAUCAAAAAUUUUACGAUGUUUAGAAGCAGAUAGACUAGUCAAGAUUUUAUGAAUAUUUAGCUUUUAUAAUGGCAUCAUCUCAACUAUAUCUAAUAGUGUUAGUAAUUGUGUAGUCUUACAUGAUUGUGAAAGCUUAUUCAAUACUUGAAGUAUCUCGAGAUGAUUUUGAUGUUUCUUAAACUUGUAAAAUGUUGGAUUUAGUUCAAACUUUAAAUGAUGGAGCUUAUGGAAUGCCAGAAUGGUUGAAUUAUAACUUAUUUGGAGAAUAGAAAAGUUGAUUAAAAUAGAAGCACAAUAAGUUAACAAAAUACCUGCUGAAUUGAUUCAAGUUCGUUCAAGGGUUUUGGAAGCUAUUCAAGGUCUUUUCAGGGCCAAGUGACUUGAAUCUCUUAAAUAGAUGCUGAAGAACUCAGAUUCUCCAAUCAGAGUUGUUGAGGCUGCAGAGAAGGUUCGGUCUAUUCCAUAGUUUUUCUUUCCUGGUUUUCUGGUUACAUUUCUUUUUACUAUGAGAAUGCCAACCUGAUGGUAUGGCAUGAUAUGAUGGUAUUGUUUUGUCAUAUAUGCUCUGGGGGCUUACUGUUUUGUGGUCUACUAUUUUAUCAUCUUCACUUUGGAUCUAUGUUAUAUCCUAUACAUGAAAAAGAAGCUGUGCAUAUGUACAACAGCUUCACAAUUAAAGGAAGCAACAUGGCUGCAGGCAUCUUUAACAAUGGCUACUGCUGAGUUACUUUUGUUGAAUAUCUUUCGGUUGCUUAAUAACUAAUGUGGUCCUAUUUAGUAUACCUCUAGCAAAUAGAUUGAUUGUCAAUCAUUCUUGUGACCUUUUCUCAUGAAGAAAUUCAAUUCCUUUUUAAGUGA